UCCAGAGUUUGAUCAUGGCUCAGAUUGANCGCUGGCGGCAGGCUUAACACAUGCAAGUCGAGCGGGGAAGGUUGCUUCGGUAACUGACCUAGCGGCGGACGGGUGAGUAAUGCUUAGGAAUCUGCCUAUUAGUGGGGGACAACAUUCCGAAAGGAANGCUAAUACCGCAUACGCCCUACGGGGGAAAGCAGGGGAUCUUCGGACCUUGCGCUAAUAGAUGAGCCUAAGUCGGAUUAGCUAGUUGGUGGGGUAAAGGCCUACCAAGGCGACGAUCUGUAGCGGUCUGAGAGGAUGUGACCACACUGACUGGCCGC
This 314-nucleotide ribosomal RNA is filed under the name Acinetobacter sp. GB1. RNAcentral's name for it is "bacterial SSU rRNA". It matches the Rfam family "Bacterial small subunit ribosomal RNA", at positions 1 to 327 of the family's 1533-position model. The record is from RNAcentral. Lineage: Bacteria; Pseudomonadati; Pseudomonadota; Gammaproteobacteria; Moraxellales; Moraxellaceae.